This 450-nucleotide ribosomal RNA is filed under the name uncultured bacterium. RNAcentral describes it as "partial 16S ribosomal RNA". It matches the Rfam family "Bacterial small subunit ribosomal RNA", at positions 354 to 796 of the family's 1533-position model. The record is from RNAcentral.
GUGGGGAAUAUUCCGCAAUGGACGAAAGUCUGACGGAGCAACGCCGCGUGAGUGAUGAAGGUUUUCGGACUGUAAAGCUCUGUUGUUUAGGACGAAAGUGCCUGUUGCGAACAGUUACAGGUAUUGACGGUACUAAACGAGGAAGCCACGGCUAACUACGUGCCAGCAGCCGCGGUAAUACGUAGGUGGCAAGCGUUGUCCGGAAUUAUUGGGCGUAAAGAGCAUGUAGGCGGAGAUUUAAGUCUGUUGUGAAAAUGCGGGGCUCAACCCCGUAUUGCGAUGGAAACUGAAUUUCUUGAGUGCAGGAGAGGAAAGGGGAAUUCCCAGUGUAGCGGUGAAAUGCGUAGAUAUUGGGAGGAACACCAGUGGCGAAGGCGCCUUUCUGGACUGUGUCUGACGCUGAGAUGCGAAAGCGUGGGGAUCGAACAGGAUUAGAAACCCCUGUAGUCC